GCGAUAAGCGCCGGUAAGGUGAUAUGAACCGUUAUAACCGGCGAUACCCGAAUGGGGAAACCCAGUGUGACUCGUCACACUAUCAUUAACUGAAUCCAUAGGUUAAUGAGGCGAACCGGGGGAACUGAAACAUCUAAGUACCCCGAGGAAAAGAAAUCAACCGAGAUUCCCCCAGUAGCGGCGAGCGAACGGGGAGGAGCCCAGAGCCUGAAUCAGCAUGUGUGUUAGUGGAAGCGUCUGGAAAGGCGCGCGAUACAGGGUGACAGCCCCGUACACAAAAGCGCAUGUGCUGUGAGCUCGAUGAGUAGGGCGGGACACGUGGUAUCCUGUCUGAAUAUGGGGGGACCAUCCUCCAAGGCUAAAUACUCCUGACUGACCGAUAGUGAACCAGUACCGUGAGGGAAAGGCGAAAAGAACCCCGGCGAGGGGAGUGAAAAAGAACCUGAAACCGUGUACGUACAAGCAGUGGGAGCACCCUUUGGGUGUGACUGCGUACCUUUUGUAUAAUGGGUCAGCGACUUAUAUUCUGUAGCAAGGUUAACCGAAUAGGGGAGCCGGAGGGAAACCGAGUCUUAACCGGGCGUUAAGUUGCAGGGUAUAGACCCGAAACCCGGUGAUCUAGCCAUGGGCAGGUUGAAGGUUGGGUAACACUAACUGGAGGACCGAACCGACUAAUGUUGAAAAAUUAGCGGAUGACCUGUGGCUGGGGGUGAAAGGCCAAUCAAACCGGGAGAUAGCUGGUUCUCCCCGAAAGCUAUUUAGGUAGCGCCUCGUGAAUUCAUCUCCGGGGGUAGAGCACUGUUUCGGCUAGGGGGCCAUCCCGGCUUACCAACCCGAUGCAAACUGCGAAUACCGGAGAAUGUUAUCACGGGAGACACACGGCGGGUGCUAACGUCCGUCGUGAAGAGGGAAACAACCCAGACCGCCAGCUAAGGUCCCAAAGUCAUGGUUAAGUGGGAAACGAUGUGGGAAGGCCCAGACAGCCAGGAUGUUGGCUUAGAAGCAGCCAUCAUUUAAAGAAAGCGUAAUAGCUCACUGGUCGAGUCGGCCUGCGCGGAAGAUGUAACGGGGCUAAACCAUGCACCGAAGCUGCGGCAGCGACACUGUGUGUUGUUGGGUAGGGGAGCGUUCUGUAAGCCUGCGAAGGUGGCCUGUGAGGGUUGCUGGAGGUAUCAGAAGUGCGAAUGCUGACAUAAGUAACGAUAAAGCG
RNAcentral lists this ribosomal RNA (1210 nucleotides) under Salmonella enterica subsp. enterica serovar Enteritidis. Its description in RNAcentral is "partial 23S ribosomal RNA". It matches the Rfam family "Bacterial large subunit ribosomal RNA", at positions 68 to 1319 of the family's 2925-position model. The record is from RNAcentral. Lineage: Bacteria; Pseudomonadati; Pseudomonadota; Gammaproteobacteria; Enterobacterales; Enterobacteriaceae.